UCACACCACCAACGCCCGGGCAUUACGAGCCCAGCUUAAAACCCAAAGGACUUGACGGUGUCCCACCCAACUAGAGGAGCCUGUUUUAUAAUCGAUAACCCCCAACACACCCAACCCUACCUUGCCACUCAGCCUGAAUACCUCCGUCGUAAGCUUACCAUAUGAAUGCCAACAGUAAGUAUAAUGGUCUUAACACCAAUACGUCAGGUCAAGGUGCAGCUCACGAUGGGGAANGCAAUGGGCUACAAUUUCUAGCAUAGAACAUACGAAAUACUACAUGAAACACAGAUAUGAAGGCGGAUUUAGUAGUAAAAGGG
Molecule: ribosomal RNA, 317 nt
Filed under: Limnonectes ibanorum (rough-backed river frog)
Lineage: Eukaryota; Metazoa; Chordata; Amphibia; Anura; Dicroglossidae
Description: partial 12S ribosomal RNA
Rfam family: Bacterial small subunit ribosomal RNA
Source: RNAcentral